CCCGUGCAGCUGGUGGCGGUAAUGCACCAUUAACAUUGGAUGCCAACCGUCGUUAAACCCCAUCGAAGACGAAGAAGAAGAAGAAGAAGAAGAAGAAGUGGUGGCGGCGGCAAUACACCAGUAUGUGUAGUCUGCCAUAAAACUUUGAAGAAGAAGAAGCGCACGAGCACUUCUCAGGGUGUUUAAUUAUUUUCUUUUAAUGUUUUAUCAAGACAAGCAAGUUGAAAAUGACCUUUGCCUUUCCUCUAUGAAGGAAUGUUUUUAUAGAUGAAGAUCUAGACUAAAACGUUGAAUAGCUAACUGAAUGGAAACUUAAUAGUUGAAUGAAUGAGACUGGCGUCUUGAAAAGAUAGAACAUGUACCUGUUGCACUUCUCUAUUGCCAUCAUUCUUGGGUUUGUGUGGUAUUUAUUUGACCGCGGACAAGUAGCGGCUCAAAUUGUUUUAUGUUUACUAUUUUGGCAAUCAACCCCAAAUGUUUUAAUAAAGACCAGACGGGAAAGCGGCACUCAGACAGACGAUGUGGUUGAAGAAGAUUUAUUCCAGGAAACCACUGACCAUUUAGGUUGUGAUGUGACUGAUACAACAAGCACUAAAGCUGAAACAUCACAGGAGAGACAGUUUCCCCAUGUGAAGAGGUCUCUUCAGCAAGUGUUUGAGUGUGCCUACGCCCAGCUAGUCCUCCCCUGGUACAGCGUCCCUGAGCCCUGUGACAGUCAGCUCCUGCACCAGGUGCUGUGGAGGGAGUUUGACCAAGUCAUCGAUCAAGUCAUCAGCAAAGGCAAAGACUUUGACGUCUGUGCUGCAAGUGUGGGCUGCAUUCGCAUCCUGACCCAGCACCUCCAUAAUGCCAAACAGUCUCAUAGAAAACCAUUGUUCCGCUCUAGAGGAGAGGAGGUUGAAGUUCUCCGAGUGUUCUCUGAAGUACUGGUGCGAAACCUUUUACCCCAGUCCCUAUGGGGACUGGCAGUCAGCCACUGUGCCUUAAAUGAGAUAGUUGCCUUAAAAGCACUGGACCUGCUGGUGCGGUGGCUCUCAGACCCUGACAACCUCAACCAGCUGGUGGUGAGUCAGCUGGAUGGAGCGACCCGUAAGAGCUCUGUGGAGGAGCUGUGUGAGUCCCACUCUGACAGGGCCUCUCCCGUCUCCCUGGAGAGCCAGGCCAGUGGAGCGAUGCAGGAAGAAACAGAGGAUGCUCAAACCAGUGACAGCAAGUCCAAAAAGAAAGCCAACAAAUUGAAGGAAGGCUGGUCUAAAUUCCUUGACAAGAUGAGAUUGAAGAAGGCUAAAAGGGAGAAGAUGAAGAAAAGGGAGCAGGCGCUGGUUGUCACGGCCAUGUCUAUCCAGGGUCGUCCAUCAAACGAAAAUGAAGGGAGUAGCCGGAACCAGCAGGACUCUGACAGCGAGGACAGUGAUCUGGAGAGCUACUGGAACAGUGUACAAGAGGAUAUGAUGGAAUUCAAGCUGUCGUAUGAGCUGUGGCGGGUUGGCCACUGGGCUGUCAGCGUCCCUUGUGUGGAGAGGGAAAACGAGGAACUGUGUUUUACAGUUCACCUGGAGGAGAGGGACAACCCUGAAAAUCUUCACUGGAACGUGAGGAAGACCCAAACAGACAUCAUCCACUUCCGCAACCUAUGGCAGGACUCUGCUACUUUACCCUCCCUAUACAUGUUAGAGGAGAGCACUGAGGUGAACAUCAAUGAGGAUUUCAAAGAAGCCAGGAAGUCCAUCAAGCUCUUCUUACAGGAGCUGGUGUCUGAUGUUCUAGUGGGCCACACUCAGCCAGUAUUUCAGUUUCUGUGUCCUCUGGAAAAGCUGCUGGUUGAAGAGGAUCAUGUGUGGGGCCUCUUCAGUGGCCUGGCCUACUUCCUGACUCCGGGCCAAGAGGAAGAUGAGGACAAGCACAACAGCCUUGGAAGAGGGACCAAACCAGAUGAUUCCAACACAACGGAGGCUGCAGAACCAACUGCAACUGAGAACCUGGAUGGCGAUACAAGGGAUGACCUGGCCCGGGGCCCAUGUAUCAUCAUCUCCCAAUGUGAUGAGUAUUCUCCUUCAGAACCCAGUUCCAUUGAGUGCUGCAGAGAUGACGAGCCCGAACCAAUAGAGAAAUCUGACAUUUUGGUUAAAGCAGACAAAACCGAGGAAUCUGAGAAACCCAUAACUUCCCAACUAAAGAUGGCAAUCAAAGGACUAUCUAGAUCAGAGGAGUGUCUGGCCCAAACAAAAUCAGACACACCUGAAGACCAGACUGACUCUUUCUGUAGACUGCGACGUUCCAGUGAAAAUGGAGGCUCGCAAUUUUACCUCGCUGACAGUCCAUCACAUCCUUUCGGUGGAAAGUCGAAUAAAAAGGAGAAACUCACUUUCAAAAUGUCAGGAGGUAUCCCCAGGAGUAAAGGAAAUGAAAUGGGGAGUCAGCCAAAAUUAGAAGACUCACGGUGUUUGAAAAAGGAACAAUCCAGCUGGGAGCAAAUGGAAGCAACCAAAGCCCUUUUUGAUUUGUUGAAAGCAAUAUCUGGCAAUUCCAUCCUUCUGAACAUAUUUGAUGCGAUUCUGAAACCCGUCAUGCCGAUAUUGAAAAAGAAAGUGAACCGCUUCUUGAAUAAUAUGAACCCAACGGAAGCACAGAUUGCCUCCUAUAUCGACAACCUGCGUGAGAAUCAGUGGCCCGAGGGCUUGCCGGAGAUGACUUGCCCCAUACCCCAUCGCAGCAGUGAGGAGAAGCAUGAGACCAAAGACAGAGCUCACCACCUCAUCAAUGCCAGAUAUUCAAACUAUUUAAUCUUGAAGAAGACAGAUAUGGAGACAGUGUUUAAGCUCUUCCAGGACUGUGAAGAAAACAAGAAGCUGAUCUAUAUGCUGCUUUCAUUCCUGUUGAGAGAGCUUCUGCCAGGUUUUACCAUGACUUGCGAAGCAACUGAAUGUGACGAUGUUGGUGUCGAUGUGCCUUCUUAAUAAAGUCAUUUAGGUUUUUCUUGCUUUUUUUGACAUAUGCCUGUUAUGCUUUCAUUUUUUAAAUUUAACUAGGCAAGUCGGUUAACAAAUUCUUAUUUACAAUGACAGCCUAGGAACAGUGGGUUAACUGCCUUGUUCAGGGGCAGAAGGACUGAUUUUUACCUUGUCAGCUCGGGGAUUCGAUCUAGCAACCUUUCGGUUACUGGCCCAACGCUCUAAACACUAGGCUACCUGCUGCCCCUUUAGAUUGUGUGGUAAGUAUUUUCUGUUUUCUGAAUAUGGAUUCAUCCUAAUCCAAUGGGAUUACUGAAUUUUAACUGUCUUUCUCUAUGUUGAUCAUUAUUAAAGUUCACAGACAAAAAAAAAAGAUAAUUAAAGUGGCAAUAUGUAACUUUUUGGGUGACCUGACUAAAUUUACAUAAAUGUGAGCUAUAGAUUUAUCAUUCUACUUGAAAGCGAAACGAUUUCGGCAUAGUGCAGUUUUAAGAGAUUAAUUUGGAUUUUGUAGCUAUGCUUAAAGAUACCCAAGAUAAUAGAUGCUGGUGGGAGGAGCUAUAACACAGACUGAUUGUAAUGGCUGGAAUGGAAUUCUUGGAACUGAGUCAAAUGUGGUUUCCAUAUGUUUGUUUUUGAUAACUUUCUAAUUAUUCCAUUCCAGCAAUUACAAUGAGCCUAUUCUCCUAUCAAAUUGUAUUAGUCACAUACACGUGUUUAGCAAAUGUUAUUGGGGAUGUAGCGAAAUACUUGUGUUUCUAGCCUCAACAGUGCAGUAAUAUCUAUAAUUAUAUCCUAUAGUUCUUUUUUGAAUGAGAAGGUAUAUGAAAAUACUUAUAUAUUCUUGAUUUGAUAGCACGUAUUGUUGAGCUCAGUGAUCAUGCUCAGCUCAAAGUAACACGUUUAGCGUUCCUCUGCUCUGCUGAAUGCUCUUGCCUGCAAUGCUAUCCUUCAGUUUCCCUCCAACACAUUGGGUGGCAGCAUUGUUGGUGUUUCAGGUUAAUUCAAAAUGGCUGCGCCCUGAGCAUUAGGUAAAGUGUGAAGGUGUCUGCUUUGGGCAUUGAAUAACGGAAAG
Salmo trutta (river trout) is the source of this 4026-nucleotide long non-coding RNA. Ensembl lists it as uncharacterized. Lineage: Eukaryota; Metazoa; Chordata; Actinopteri; Salmoniformes; Salmonidae. The record is from Ensembl.